Molecule: long non-coding RNA, 1362 nt
Filed under: Sorghum bicolor (sorghum)
Lineage: Eukaryota; Viridiplantae; Streptophyta; Magnoliopsida; Poales; Poaceae
Description: long non-coding RNA (SBIC_LNC018022)
Source: RNAcentral
AACCAUAGGAACUACAUAUAUGAAUUAUUCAAAUUAAUUACAGAAAAAUAUAAAUUUAAAGCUACAACAAAAACUUUAUAUUAAAGUAUAUCAUAUUAUACAUCCACUAUAUAGAUCUAAUCAUCAGGAGUCUAAUAAAAUUAAAUUUUUUAUUUUAUGAUUUUUCUAUAAUUUAUUAUGAUUUUUCAAAGAUUCAGCGGAAAUAAAUAAAAAAGACAAAGACAAAACCACUCUCUAAAACCACUCAAGGGGGUUAUUUGACCGGUUUUUAAAGUUCAGGGGAUAGAAUAUACGGUUUUAUAAUUUGGAGGAUAAAGUAUUCCACCCUAGAUAGUUUGGGGGCUAUGUAGACUUUUUCCUUAGUUGCAUAGUGAAUAUUAUCGGGUCUUAUGAACAUUUUCUAUGUUUAUUUUCUAUAAACUCUCAUAUUGAACUAUGCUUUUGUUUUCAUAUUGAACUAUGCAGAUUACUCCUUAGUUACAUAGUGAAAAAGGAGGAAAUAAUCAAUAAGCAAUAUUCUUGGAGAGCUAAAUAUAUAGGUCUAGUAAGUAAAAGAAUUAAGACGGCCACUGAGGUGUAUAUACUUCCUAUCGACAUUGAUAGUCUAAAUCUGAAGCUUCUUUGUUUAUCUCUGGGCUUCUUCCCUCUAAUAAAUAAUUAGUAGCACCAAUUGCAUUUGUAUGACUACUAUACCGGCCCUAUGAUCAUCAUCACCUCUAAGAAGAAAUAUUAAUACUGAUAAUGACUUCACUAAAGUGUGUUCAAUUAACUAUAUCUCGAGCCGAAUUGUUUGUUUGGCUGAUAAGUCAUGGUAGAAAGUAAGCUCGAACUAACGACCAAAGUACAAGCGUGAAGCGUUUAGCACCCAGUAUGCUACUGAACUGUUGUCGACACCUCUCACUCUCUCAAAAAAAAAAAAACUGUUGUUGUAGACUUAAGUUUGGGUACGAAAAGUGACAAUGUAUCCUCUAUCGGCUUCCAUAUAUAGUCAGUCCUCUGCAAAUAAAUAAAUGGCCACAAUUGGAGUAUUGACUUAGGUCUUGUUUGAAUGUUGUUAGAUUCAUCUCAAUCCACAUGUGUUGGAGUGGAUUGGAGUGGAAUUUAGUUCAAGUUCCACUCUAACCCACAUUGAGCAUCUCCAACAGUUAUGCAAUUGGACUUUGCAUUCUUGAAAUUUGCCAAAAACUUUAAAAAUUGCUCUCCAACAGUUUUGCAUUUGACUUAUUCAUUUUGGCAAACUUAGCAUUUGGUGGACAAACUUGGCAUUUUUGCAUAGACACAAUGGCUUGACAAUUUUGAUAUCCCGAGAAUCUUGGACUCCUUGUCGUGCCCGUACUCCCCACGUCGUGGUAGUUUCCCACG